AUACGAACCGCACGAACGUUAUUCGGAAUCACUGGGCUUAAAGGGUGCGUAGGCGGUCUGGUAAGUUGGGUGUGAAAUCCCUCGGCUCAACCGAGGAAUUGCGCUCAAUACUGCUAGACUUGAGGGAGAUAGAGGUAAGCGGAACUCAGGGUGGAGCGGUGAAAUGUGUUGAUAUCCUGGGGAACACCAGUUGCGAAAGCGGCUUACUGGGUCUCUUCUGACGCUGAGGCACGAAAGCUAGGGGAGCGAACGGGAUUAGAUACCCCGGUAGUCCUAGCUGUAAACGUUGAGCACUUGGUUGACGGGUCCUCCAUAGCCUGUCAGCCGUAGCGAAAGUGGUAAGUGCUCCGCCUGGGGAGUAUGGUCGCAAGGCUGAA
RNAcentral lists this ribosomal RNA (377 nucleotides) under uncultured bacterium. RNAcentral's name for it is "bacterial SSU rRNA". It matches the Rfam family "Bacterial small subunit ribosomal RNA", at positions 523 to 898 of the family's 1533-position model. The record is from RNAcentral.